UCAUCAUUUAAUUAAACCAAAUGAACAUUUUACAUUGUUUCUGAUAAUCCUAUGUAAUCUUCUUUUGAUAUUCAGAUCUUAAUCGAAUUCAAUGUGUGAAACUUCUUUCUCGGUGGCUCUGUUGUUUUUUCAUCCAUCGAAACAGCAAAUUGACUCGGAUAAUGGCUGAUACUAUCAACCUGAUAGAUCAAUUGGAUUUUAUGAUAAUUAAAAGUAAACCAUUACAAUAAACAACAAUAUCAGAUGACCUUAUUAGAGUGCUGUAAUCACAAUGACGGUAUGCCACAGGUAACCAAGGAGUUUCUACUAGCUACCGUAAUCAAAUACGCCUGAGCUUCAACAUCUGUGAAAUGUUUGAUGAUAUUUUUCAAUAAUCUAAUCUUUUUGAAAUUAAUUUUUGAAACCAUUUCUAUUCAUCAAUUCUCAGGACUAUUCGCGCAAUUUUCAUUUACUGCAUGAAAUCGUGCCUCUCGUUGAAUUCUGUGACUGUGUCUUCAUAACUUUUGGUCCUUCUAUGACAAUGUUUUGCUUUAAAGUAGCCAAUUAUCCAAUUCAGAUUAUAAUGACCUCAUCCUGUUUCUUUUGGUUAUGUGUCUUGGCGUCCUUUUUUAUGGGCUAUUGAUGUACCCAGAAAUAAACGCUUGCUAAUAGUCCAGGAACAGUGGGUCUUUAUGGCGGUUCACCUAAAUUUUUCAUAUCACAAGCGUUCAUUGCUCUAACUUUUAUUUGAAUACAUACAUUCAGGAGAAUCAUAUUCUUUGAUUCACUCGAUAGCGGAUGUAAACAUAGAAUUGACAAUUAACUCUUUCUCAUCUUACUGCAUCAUCACUGGUAAAUUGAUUAUUUCAUUCGCUUGGGAAUUUACUAGCAUAAACUCUUGACUUGAUAUAAUUCUGUUUUUCGACAAAUUAGCGGGCAAUUAAAUGAAAUUUUGUCCUG
Non-coding RNA from Tetranychus urticae (two-spotted spider mite), 939 nucleotides. Lineage: Eukaryota; Metazoa; Arthropoda; Arachnida; Trombidiformes; Tetranychidae. The record is from RefSeq and is a predicted model, not a curated record.